UAGUUGCAACGGCUUCCUGGCGCAGCAUUAACUUUACCGGAGCA
RNAcentral lists this non-coding RNA (44 nucleotides) under unclassified sequences. RNAcentral's name for it is "SAM-SAH-Weickhmann-2018 RNA". It matches the Rfam family "SAM/SAH riboswitch aptamer". The record is from RNAcentral.